CCCUUAGAGUUUGAUCCUGGCUCAGGAUGAACGCUAGCUACAGGCUUAACACAUGCAAGUCGAGGGGAAACGACAUCGAAAGCUUGCUUUUGAUGGGCGUCGACCGGCGCACGGGUGAGUAACGCGUAUCCAACCUGCCCACCACUUGGGGAUAACCUUGCGAAAGUAAGGCUAAUACCCAAUGAUAUCUCUAGAAGACAUCUGAAAGAGAUUAAAGAUUUAUCGGUGAUGGAUGGGGAUGCGUCUGAUUAGCUUGUUGGCGGGGUAACGGCCCACCAAGGCGACGAUCAGUAGGGGUUCUGAGAGGAAGGUCCCCCACAUUGGAACUGAGACACGGUCCAAACUCCUACGGGAGGCAGCAGUGAGGAAUAUUGGUCAAUGGACGAGAGUCUGAACCAGCCAAGUAGCGUGCAGGAUGACGGCCCUAUGGGUUGUAAACUGCUUUUAUAAGGGAAUAAAGUGAGUCUCGUGAGACUUUUUGCAUGUACCUUAUGAAUAAGGACCGGCUAAUUCCGUGCCAGCAGCCGCGGUAAUACGGAAGGUCCGGGCGUUAUCCGGAUUUAUUGGGUUUAAAGGGAGCGUAGGCCGGAGAUUAAGCGUGUUGUGAAAUGUAGACGCUCAACGUCUGCACUGCAGCGCGAACUGGUUUCCUUGAGUACGCACAAAGUGGGCGGAAUUCGUGGUGUAGCGGUGAAAUGCUUAGAUAUCACGAAGAACUCCGAUUGCGAAGGCAGCUCACUGGAGCGCAACUGACGCUGAAGCUCGAAAGUGCGGGUAUCGAACAGGAUUAGAUACCCUGGUAGUCCGCACGGUAAACGAUGGAUGCCCGCUGUUGGUCUGAAUAGGUCAGCGGCCAAGCGAAAGCAUUAAGCAUCCCACCUGGGGAGUACGCCGGCAACGGUGAAACUCAAAGGAAUUGACGGAAGGGCGA
Molecule: ribosomal RNA, 931 nt
Filed under: uncultured bacterium
Lineage: Bacteria
Description: bacterial SSU rRNA
Rfam family: Bacterial small subunit ribosomal RNA
Source: RNAcentral